GAUGAACGCUGGCGGCGUGCCAAAUACAUGCAAGUCGAGCGAACAGAUGAGGAGCUUGCUCCUCUGACGUUAGCGGCGGACGGGUGAGUAACACGUGGAUAACCUACCUAUAAGACUGGGAUAACUUCGGGAAACCGGAGCUAAUACCGGAUAAUAUUUUGAACCGCAUGGUUCAAUAGUGAAAGACGGUUUUGCUGUCACUUAUAGAUGGAUCCGCGCCGCAUUAGCUAGUUGGUAAGGUAACGGCUUACCAAGGCAACGAUGCGUAGCCGACCUGAGAGGGUGAUCGGCCACACUGGAACUGAGACACGGUCCAGACUCCUACGGGAGGCAGCAGUAGGGAAUCUUCCGCAAUGGGCGAAAGCCUGACGGAGCAACGCCGCGUGAGUGAUGAAGGUCUUCGGAUCGUAAAACUCUGUUAUUAGGGAAGAACAAAUGUGUAAGUAACUAUGCACAUCUUGACGGUACCUAAUCAGAAAGCCACGGCUAACUACGUG
This 497-nucleotide ribosomal RNA is filed under the name uncultured bacterium. Its description in RNAcentral is "partial 16S ribosomal RNA". It matches the Rfam family "Bacterial small subunit ribosomal RNA", at positions 28 to 507 of the family's 1533-position model. The record is from RNAcentral.